GGCGCCUCUCCUGGUGGCUACCACGCUCCAAGGGCACCCGGGGGAGCACCCGCAGCUGCGCCGACCCGCAGUGUCACAGAGAGAAGGGCAAGGAAGGGGACGGGGACCAGGAGCCGGGGCCCCGCCGGCCGGCGCAGCGCGCUCACCUGGCCCGCAGAGCCGGCUGAAGUGGUAGGGGUUGCAGCACACGGUGGGGCCGUCGGCGGCGGCGGCGAAGCUGUGGCAGCCGCACAGUGGCUUCAGCUCCACUGCGUGCUGCAGGUCGGGCCAGCGGAAGAGGCGGCCGAGCAGCAGCUGCGGCGGCGCGGGCUGGCCGCCCAGGCGGAGGUCGGCUCGCGGCACCAGCACGCAGCCGCCCGGCACGCCGCCGCGGGACUCCACCGCCUCCAGCAGCGUGUCCAGCGAGCGCUCCUUGAGCCGCUUCAGCAGCGAGUACGUGACCGUUUUGAGUUCCUGCUCCAACAGCAGCAGCCGCGAGCGCGCUUCGCGACUCCGCCCGCCGCCCGCCGGCUCCAGGGCCGCCCGGCCAGGGGGUCGCUGGCGUCCCGGGGCGCGCCGGCGGCGUCCCGCUCCGAAAAGAGACAGCAGGUCACCGUCUCGCAGUCACUCUCGGGCAGCCAGCCCGGGCCUCCCGACUCCGCCACGUCCAGCAGGGAGCCCCCAGCGCCGGCCCCGGCUCCGACAUGGGCCUCGGGGGCCCCCUGCGCGCCGGCGCCUCCCCGCGCCCUGGGCGCCUCGCUGUCCCACUGCGUCCCGGGGCCGCCGCGGGGCUACCGGGCGGACUUCGGAGCGGCCGCAGCCUCCGCCCUCUCUUGCCCGCGGGGCCGGCUCAGCUCGGCUGCCCAAGCUCCCAUCCUCGUCGCCGCCACCACCGCCGCCGCUGCCGACUUCCUCCCGGUCGGGGACCACACGACUUCGCCAAAGUCGCCGCACCAGCCCCGAGCGUUUGGACCUGAACAUACGAUAUCCUUUGGCGCCAGGGGUGGGGGGGAGGCGGUCUCCGGUUACCGGGGGUCCGUUCCCUCAGCGAGGCGCCGGCUGCGCGGGUCGCAGCCCCACAUGAAGCUCCGCCGCGGAGCGCCGUGCAGACCGUGCACAGCCUGUCGUCGAAGGGGCGCCGCAGGGCGACAACAUGAGGGAGCUCGCCAAGGCGGGACGGCCGGGAACACGCGCACGCCGAGCCGCAGUCCGCGCGCGGCCAGCGGCUACAUGGACCGCAGCGUCGGGGCUGCUCAACAACUCCAGUCCCCGCGCUUUAAGGGGCUGCAGGCGGCGCACCGCCAGAAAGACCCCACAUGGGCCGGCGAGCCUUCAAAAGUUGCGCGGCUGGUCCAUGAGCACAAAGCGCUCGCGCGAACCCCCAAAUGUGUUUGGAAAGCCCUCCCUUUCCCCUGCCUUAUUUUAAACCAAAGCGCUUAA
RNAcentral lists this long non-coding RNA (1419 nucleotides) under Macaca fascicularis (crab-eating macaque). RNAcentral's name for it is "lncRNA (ENSMFAG00000048597.1)". Lineage: Eukaryota; Metazoa; Chordata; Mammalia; Primates; Cercopithecidae. The record is from RNAcentral.